ACAGGGAUUGCCCUAGUAACGGCGAGUGAAGCGGCAACAGCUCAAAUUUGAAAUCUGGCUCUUUCAGAGUCCGAGUUGUAAUUUGCAGAGGGCGCUUUGGCUUUGGCAGCGGUCCAAGUUCCUUGGAACAGGACGUCACAGAGGGUGAGAAUCCCGUACGUGGUCGCUAGCUAUUGCCGUGUAAAGCCCCUUCGACGAGUCGAGUUGUUUGGGAAUGCAGCUCUAAAUGGGAGGUAAAUUUCUUCUAAAGCUAAAUAUUGGCCAGAGACCGAUAGCGCACAAGUAGAGUGAUCGAAAGAUGAAAAGCACUUUGGAAAGAGAGUCAAACAGCACGUGAAAUUGUUGAAAGGGAAGCGCUUGCAGCCAGACUUGCUUGCAGUUGCUCAUCCGGGCUUUUGCCCGGUGCACUCUUCUGCAGGCAGGCCAGCAUCAGUUUGGGCGGUGGGAUAAAGGUCUCUGACACGUUCCUUCCUUCGGGUUGGCCAUAUAGGGGAGACGUCAUACCACCAGCCUGGACUGAGGUCCGCGCAUCUGCUAGGAUGCUGGCGUAAUGGCUGUAAGCGGCCCGUCUUGAAACACGGACCAAGGAGUCUAACAUCUAUGCGAGUGUUUGGGUGUCAAGCCCGAGCGCGUAAUGAAAGUGAACGGAGGUGGGAACCCGCAAGGGCGCACCAUCGACCGAUCCUGAAGUUUACGGAAGGAUUUGAGUAAGAGCAUGGCUGUUGGGACCCGAAAGAUGGUGAACUAUGCUUGAAUAGGGUGAAGCCAGAGGAAACUCUGGUGGAGGCUCGCAGCGGUUCUGACGUGCAAAUCGAUCGUCAAAUUUGGGCAUAGGGGCGAAAGACUAAUCGA
This 852-nucleotide ribosomal RNA is filed under the name Curvularia hominis. RNAcentral's name for it is "eukaryotic LSU rRNA". It matches the Rfam family "Eukaryotic large subunit ribosomal RNA", at positions 68 to 938 of the family's 3401-position model. The record is from RNAcentral. Lineage: Eukaryota; Fungi; Ascomycota; Dothideomycetes; Pleosporales; Pleosporaceae.